This 483-nucleotide ribosomal RNA is filed under the name uncultured bacterium. Its description in RNAcentral is "bacterial SSU rRNA". It matches the Rfam family "Bacterial small subunit ribosomal RNA", at positions 28 to 524 of the family's 1533-position model. The record is from RNAcentral.
GAUGAACGCUGGCGGCGUGCUUAACACAUGCAAGUCGAACGAUGAUCCCUAGCUUGCUGGGGGGAUUAGUGGCGAACGGGUGAGUAACACGUGAGUAACCUGCCCUUGACUCUGGGAUAAGCCUGGGAAACUGGGUCUAAUACUGGAUACGACCUUCCAUCGCAUGGUGGUUGGUGGAAAGCUUUUGUGGUUUUGGAUGGACUCGCGGCCUAUCAGCUUGUUGGUGGGGUAAUGGCCUACCAAGGCGACGACGGGUAGCCGGCCUGAGAGGGUGGACGGCCACACUGGGACUGAGACACGGCCCAGACUCCUACGGGAGGCAGCAGUGGGGAAUAUUGCACAAUGGGCGCAAGCCUGAUGCAGCGACGCCGCGUGAGGGAUGAAGGCCUUCGGGUUGUAAACCUCUUUCAGUAGGGAAGAAGCGAAAGUGACGGUACCUGCAGAAGAAGCGCCGGCUAACUACGUGCCAGCAGCCGCGGUAAU